UGGAGGGCAAGUCUGGUGCCAGCAGCCGCGGUAAUUCCAGCUCCAAUAGCGUACAUUAAAGUUGUUGCAGUUAAAAAGCUCGUAGUUGAAUUUCGGGGUUCAUACGUUGGUCGGGCUUUUUGGUCUGUACUUAUGUAAUGGAUUCCUACCUUCUGAAUAACCGGCAUGUCAUUAAUUUGGUGCGCCGGGGAAGCAGGACUGUUACCUUGAAAAAAUUAGAGUGCUUAAAGCAGGCUAUCGCCUGAAUACAUUAGCAUGGAAUAAUGAAAUAGGACGGCAUGGUUCUAUUUUGUUGGUUUCUAGGAUCACCGUAAUGAUUAAUAGGGAUAGUUGGGGGCAUUAGUAUUCAAUUGUCAGAGGUGAAAUUCUUGGAUUUAUUGAAGACUAACUUCUGCGAAAGCAUUUGCCAAGGAUGUUUUCAUUAAUCAAGAACGAAAGUUAGGGGAUCGAAGACGAUCAUAUACCGUCGUAGUCUUAACCAUAAACUAUGCCGACUAGGGAUCGGACGAUGUUAAUUUUUUAAUGACUCGUUCGGCGCCUUACGGGAAAC
This 550-nucleotide ribosomal RNA is filed under the name uncultured Glomus. RNAcentral's name for it is "SSU rRNA". It matches the Rfam family "Eukaryotic small subunit ribosomal RNA", at positions 549 to 1098 of the family's 1831-position model. The record is from RNAcentral. Lineage: Eukaryota; Fungi; Glomeromycota; Glomeromycetes; Glomerales; Glomeraceae.